ACUCAAAGGAAUUGACGGGGGCUCGCACAAGCGGUGGAUCAUGAGGCUUAAUUCGUCGCUAAGCGAAAAACCUCACCAGGGUUAGAAAUCUAGCUGCACGCCCCGUGAAAGCGGGGAAGCCUUCGAGGGUGCUAGACAGGUGAUGCAUGGUCGUCGUCAGUUCGUGGCUUGAGUUGUUCCCUUAAGUGGGGAAACGAACGCAACCCCCGUUGCCUGUUAUAAGUGUCAGGCGAGACAGCUCCCUCACGGGAGAGGAAGGUGGGGAUGACGCCAGAUCAGCAUGUCCCUCUGAUACCCUGGGCUGCACUCGUGAUACAAUGGUUGCUACAACAGGACGCAAUGCCGUAAGGCGGAGCAAAUCCUUAGAAAAGCAACCCCAGUUCGGAUUGAGGGCUGCAACUCGCCCUCAUGAAGUCGGAAUCGCUAGUAAUCGCAAAUCAGCAUCGUUGCGGUGAAUACGUUCCCGAGCCUUGUACACACCGCCCGU
RNAcentral lists this ribosomal RNA (487 nucleotides) under uncultured bacterium. RNAcentral's name for it is "partial 16S ribosomal RNA". It matches the Rfam family "Bacterial small subunit ribosomal RNA", at positions 899 to 1397 of the family's 1533-position model. The record is from RNAcentral.